GGAUCUUGAUCUUGGAGGUGUGUGAUAGCGCUUUAAACAAAAGAAGAGAAACUAUUUUUAAAAUGCCUCUCAAUUACAAUCUGCUAUAGGACAGAGACAUGUAAAAGAUCCAAUCUCCGAUUCCUUCAAAGGCAAUCAUAGUGACUGUCAAGGAUCAAACAAGUCACCAAAUAAGAUGAGUCAUACUUGAAUUUCAAAAUAAUAAAAGCACAGAAAACUAGACAUUAAUGGCAAAACUACUGACAGCUUACAAGUCUCAAAGGUUAGUAUAAUUUAACAUAUAAAACAUCAACCCAGAGAAAUACAAUUUUGACAAUAAAAUUAUUGAAUGAUCUUAACUUAUUUUUCUUUUUACAAGUUUCGGCAAUUAUUUUCACCUGGAAAAACACAAAUCUUGAAUAUAAACGCAUAUGCUCCUCCAAGAUGUCAGAUUUCAAUUUAGUUACAAUUAAAAAAAAAAUGCUAUCCUUGUCAUCCAUUAGAAAUAAACUGGAUUUACAUAGUCGCAUGUACUUUGCCCAUUCCAGGGUGGACGUAUGUUUUAGUUAAGACUGAAUUGGUGUUUCAUACUUACCCUUUUGGGCUCAUUAUAUGUUUGCUCCUUGGUUCUUCUGAGCUGCUUGCUUCCUUUCUUCUCCUUUUAGAAUGUUUAACUUUUGGCCUCCUCUUAUGUUUCCUUCUUCUGCUUCUCCCAUGUUCAAUUUCACUUUCUGAAGAUGAUUCGGAAGAUGAAGAGGAACUGGAAGAGGAAUCCGAGUCUUCUGAAUGUGUUGGUUUCUUCCUUUUUUUCUCAAAAACUUUUAAUAAAUAUUAACAAAAAUA
Ictidomys tridecemlineatus (thirteen-lined ground squirrel) is the source of this 822-nucleotide non-coding RNA. Lineage: Eukaryota; Metazoa; Chordata; Mammalia; Rodentia; Sciuridae. The record is from RefSeq and is a predicted model, not a curated record.